GUGUUAACCCUCCUUGACAGCUGUCCUGUUGUAGUCUACCUGCUUCUGAAACCUCAGCUGCGUGUCUGCAGGAUGCUGGGGUGUGGAGCUGUGCAUGUGCUCGUCGCACGGAGCAGACCAUCACAAUGGUGAAGAUGACCUUUGCAUGGAUUAGUGUAGAUAUUUAAUAACCGGGAUAUUACAAAAACAGGUCAUCAGAAAUGGCAGGCGAGAGCAG
Molecule: long non-coding RNA, 217 nt
Organism: Cygnus olor (mute swan)
Lineage: Eukaryota; Metazoa; Chordata; Aves; Anseriformes; Anatidae
Exons: 3
Source: RefSeq, a predicted model, not a curated record